AUUUAUUUGGGAUGAGGAAAGGAAACUGAGGACAGGGUACAGGAGUAAUAGCAAUUCCCUGUAGCUCUCAAAGCAAAUUUUGAGCUCAUUUUUCUUUUUCUGCAAGCUCAGCAGCAGAAUGCCCAGAGUCUUCCCUGGUAGAUGCAGCAGAAUGCCCAGAGUCUUCCCUGGUAGAUGCAGCAGAAUGCCCAGAGUCUUCCCUGGUAGAUGCAGGUUCCAUAGCGACGUUCUCCUGCAAUGCACGCUGGUAUUCUGCAAUAGCAGUCCAUGUUUUUCCUUGAGCCUGGGACAGGGAGAGCAUGAGAAAUUGAGUAUGGAGUUA
RNAcentral lists this long non-coding RNA (322 nucleotides) under Homo sapiens (human). RNAcentral's name for it is "HSALNT0344826". Lineage: Eukaryota; Metazoa; Chordata; Mammalia; Primates; Hominidae. The record is from RNAcentral.